RNAcentral lists this ribosomal RNA (500 nucleotides) under uncultured bacterium. RNAcentral's name for it is "partial 16S ribosomal RNA". It matches the Rfam family "Bacterial small subunit ribosomal RNA", at positions 30 to 523 of the family's 1533-position model. The record is from RNAcentral.
AUUGAACGCUGGCGGCAGGCCUAACACAUGCAAGUCGAGCGGUAGAGAGAAGCUUGCUUCUCUUGAGAGCGGCGGACGGGUGAGUAAUGCCUAGGAAUCUGCCUGGUAGUGGGGGAUAACGUUCGGAAACGGACGCUAAUACCGCAUACGUCCUACGGGAGAAAGCAGGGGACCUUCGGGCCUUGCGCUAGCAGAUGAGCCUAGGUCGGAUUAGCUAGUUGGUGGGGUAAUGGCUCACCAAGGGGACGAUCCGUAACUGGUCUGAGAGGAUGAUCAGUCACACUGGGACUGAGACACGGUCCAGACUCCUACGGGAGGCAGCAGUGGGGAAUAUUGGACAAUGGGCGAAAGCCUGGUCCAGCCAUGCCGCGUGUGUGAAGAAGGUCUUCGGAUUGUAAAGCACUUUAAGUUGGGAGGAAGGGCAGUAAAUUAAUACUUUGCUGUUUUGACGUUACCGACAGAAUAAGCACCGGCUAACUCUGUGCCAGCCGCCGCGGUAA